This 1402-nucleotide long non-coding RNA is filed under the name Struthio camelus australis. RNAcentral's name for it is "lncRNA (ENSSCUG00000002432.1)". Lineage: Eukaryota; Metazoa; Chordata; Aves; Struthioniformes; Struthionidae. The record is from RNAcentral.
NNNNNNNNNNNNNNNNNNNNNNNNNNNNNNNNNNUUGGGUGCUGAACCCCCUCUGCUGCCGCCCCCCCCAGGGCCCUGCCACAAAACACCCGGAACGUGCUCAGCGCCGGGCACGCGGCCGUCGGGGCCCCUCCUGCCAGGCGCUUCGGCAUGUUCCUGCGUGCUCCGCUGGAUCGGGCCUCGACUGCUUCGCUCUGCUCCUUCCCUCCGGAGCUAUUUACAGCCCUCUCGGCGUUGCUGACCUCCGGGAAGUUGCUCCCCUCGUGGAGCCGGCAGCAUCUGGCAGCGCUCUGCUCUCCGGAGGGGUCUGCCGCAUCCAGAUUGCAACCUGCCCUCCCGCUCCAAGUGCUGCCGAGGGGUCUGGCUGCCUUCCCCUGCCUCCGUCCUCCCCCGGGAGCUGAGGGGGGUGUUUCCAUGCAGCCUUGUGUGGGACAGGGCUGGGCAAAAGGUGUUGCCCCCCACCACACAGCACAUCCUCAGUGCCCGCCUGUCCCGGCUCCUCGUUCUCUGUACACAUGUCCCGGGCAUCCCGCGACCUCAUGGUGUGUUCCCCCAGCACGUCCCUCCGUGCAUGCCUCUCCCGGCUCCUCGUUCUCUGUGCACGUGUCCCGGGCAUCCCGCGACCUCGUGGUGCGUUCCCGCAGCACGUCCCUCCGUGCACGCCUCUCCCGGCUCCUCGUUCUCUGUGCACGUGUCCCGGGCAUCCCACGACCUCGUGGUGCGUUCCCGCAGCACGUCCCUCCGUGCACGCCUCUCCCGGCUCCUCGUUCUCUGUGCACGUGUCCCGGGCAUCCCACGACCUCGUGGUGCGUUCCCGCAGCACGUCCCUCCGUGCACGCCUCUCCCGGCUCCUCGUUCUCUGUGCACGUGUCCCGGGCAUCCCACGACCUCGUGGUGCGUUCCCGCAGCACGUCCCUCCGUGCACGCCUCUCCCGGCUCCUCGUUCUCUGUGCACGUGUCCCGGGCAUCCCGCGGUCUCGUGGUGCGUUCCCGCGGGCUCUGCUGGUCCAGAGGGCAAUAGCGGGAAUCCCUUGUCUCUCUGCCCAUCCCUGCAGGCGACAGGCUCUCCCAGCGGCGUGCAGCUGCCGCCUGUGUGGUGGAGGGCCGGCGGUGGCACAGACCUUGCAGGGAGCUUGCAUGCGCCAGCUGGCCCCGUCGGAUCAGGCUGCGAGCCGGGGAGCUUAGCUGAGCCCUGUAAUUUAAAAGUUCCCAUCAAAUAUUCCUGUGUCGGAGCCUGUGCUGCGUCUGGGCUGAUGCCUAGGUGAAGGGUAGCAGAUUCAGGUAGCUGCCCUUUAUGGAAAAAAAAGUCUUUCCUGGGGAUUUUCCAGCCAUAAAGCUGUUGUUUGCUUAUUUUUUUUCCCCCAUAGUCUCUGCAGCGUAGUCAGAGCCUGGGACACCCUGC